UUUCCGUAGGUGAACCUGCGGAAGGAUCAUUAAAAAUAUCACAUUUGUUUGUGAUUUAAUAAUCAUCUACCCUUUGUGAAUUUGUCUUUGUUUGAAAUUUAUGUUGUCUAUCCUGGAUUAUGAAAGAAAAGUUGUAAAGACUUUUUUUUCAUUCUAGGAAUAGGCUUCAUAGACAUUUUUUUAAAUUAAACUUUUUGUAUUCAUUUGUCUAAGAUUUAUUUUUAAAUAAUUUAAAAACAACUUUGACAAUGGAUCUCUUGUUCUCGCAACGAUGAAGUACGCAGCAAAAUGCGAUAAGUAAUGCGAAUUGCAGAAUACGUGAAUCAUCAAAUUUCGAACGCAUAUUGCACUUUUUAGUUUACUAAAAAAGUAUGUCUGUUUGAGUAUCAGUAAUAUUCUCAUAAAACUAUUGUUUUUAUGGUUAUGAGUGUUUACAACGAUAACAAGUUGUUUCACUUAAUUGAUUUUUUUAAUAAGCCAAUUUGGUUUAUUUUAAAUUGGAUAAAUUUUCCCGUAAAAAGGAAUAAACUUUCAGUUUUAAAGUUAAAACUUAAAUUGACCUACAAAAAAGGAAUUUAAUUAUAAAACUAACUUGAUCUCAAAUCAGAUAAGAGUACCGCUGAACUUAAGCAUAUCAAUAAGCGGAGGAAAAGAAACUAACAAGGAUUCCCUUAGUAACGCGAGUGAAGCGGGAAGAGCUCAAAUUUGAAAUCUUCAAGUUCUACCUUGACGAAUUGUAGUUUAAAGAAGUUUUUCUGUUAGUGGAGUGGCAAAAGUUCUUUGGAAUAGGACAUCAUAGAGGGUGAGAAUCCGUAUUUGUCAUUCUUCUAGCUUUGUGAUACACUUUCAAAGAGUCGGUUGUUUGGAAUGCAGUCCAAAAUGGGUGGUAAAUUUCAUCUAAAGCUAAAUAUUGGCGAGAGACCGAUAGCGAACAAGUACCGUGAGGGAAGAUGAAAAGAACUUUGAAAAGAGAGUUAUACAGUACGUGAAAUUGUCAAAAGGAAGCGUUUGACACCAGUGUUGUUUUUCCGAAAAUCAAUUAUAAAUGUUUUGUUUUCUGAGGAGUGAUGACUUCAUCGGCUUCCUUCUCUCUUCACGAAACUUUUGUAAUGCACUUUUCGUUAACAAGUCAACAUCAAUUUCUUUUGUUGUAAAGAGUAUUCGAAGGUGGCUUUCUUUUCGGAGAAAGUGUUUAUAGCCCUAUACUCUACAAUCGGAGAGAUUGAGGUCUGCAGCGUAGAUCCUUCGGGUUAGAUACACUUGUGCUAAGUUAUAGCUUUUCAUAGACAACUUGUUGACUAUGUUUAGUCUUGUAGCUUACUCGCUUGUGCUAUUUUACCUACGCUUAGGAUGUUGACG
RNAcentral lists this unclassified non-coding RNA (1359 nucleotides) under uncultured Neocallimastigales. Its description in RNAcentral is "partial contains small subunit ribosomal RNA, internal transcribed spacer 1, 5.8S ribosomal RNA, internal transcribed spacer 2, and large subunit ribosomal RNA". The stretch from base 594 to 1359 matches the Rfam family "Eukaryotic large subunit ribosomal RNA", at positions 1 to 631 of the family's 3401-position model. Lineage: Eukaryota; Fungi; Neocallimastigomycota; Neocallimastigomycetes; Neocallimastigales. The record is from RNAcentral.